Molecule: small RNA, 603 nt
Filed under: Pongo abelii (Sumatran orangutan)
Lineage: Eukaryota; Metazoa; Chordata; Mammalia; Primates; Hominidae
Description: processed transcript
Source: RNAcentral
AGGGCUGCCAGCGUAUCGUAGAGGACUGGCAGAAAAUCCUUAUGGUGCGGUCCCUUGUGGUCAGCCCUCACGAAGACAUGAGAACCUGGCUCAAGUAUGCAAGCCUGUGCGGCAAGAGUGGCAGGCUGGCUCUUGCUCAUAAAACCUUAGUGUUGCUCCUGGGAGUUGAUCCAUCUCGGCAACUUGACCAUCCUCUGCCAACAGUUCACCCUCAGGUGACCUAUGCCUACAUGAAAAACAUGUGGAAGAGUGCCCGCAAGGUCUGUAUCCCAGCGCAUCCAGAACAGACCACCUUCUCCAGAAUGCUCACCUAAUCUGCUUCUCUCUGCCUCUUUAAGGCCAGAAAAGAAACAGUGUUUAAACCACCUACUCACAAUGUCAGAGAGUCUCUUCCUGUUAUGAAGCUGUUUGGCCUGAUUUCAUAAAGUGAAUCAUAGUUGAGGAGAUGGCGUGUAGAUGAAACCAAUGAAUGUGACCACAGUUAUAUGUAUUCGUAUCUAGAAAGUGCUGGGACAUAGAAAGGGCACACUUUCUACCCCUAAGAGAAGAUGGGCUGUUUGGUACAAAAAAGAGCAGAUUUGUAAAUACACAGACUAGAACUUU